AAAUUGAAGAGUUUGAUCAUGGCUCAGAUUGAACGCUGGCGGCAGGCCUAACACAUGCAAGUCGAACGGUAACAGGAAGAAGCUUGCUUCUUUGCUGACGAGUGGCGGACGGGUGAGUAAUGUCUGGGAAGCUGCCUGAUGGAGGGGGAUAACUACUGGAAACGGUAGCUAAUACCGCAUAA
RNAcentral lists this ribosomal RNA (182 nucleotides) under Escherichia coli. RNAcentral's name for it is "partial 16S ribosomal RNA". It matches the Rfam family "Bacterial small subunit ribosomal RNA", at positions 1 to 176 of the family's 1533-position model. Lineage: Bacteria; Pseudomonadati; Pseudomonadota; Gammaproteobacteria; Enterobacterales; Enterobacteriaceae. The record is from RNAcentral.